This is a long non-coding RNA of Cornus florida, 488 nucleotides long. RefSeq lists it as uncharacterized. The transcript is spliced from 2 exons. Lineage: Eukaryota; Viridiplantae; Streptophyta; Magnoliopsida; Cornales; Cornaceae. The record is from RefSeq and is a predicted model, not a curated record.
CAUUAGGUCAUUUACACUCCAAAUUUGCAACUUAGCCUGAAAAAAGGUUAGAUAUAUCUUGUUUACUAUUUCUAAUUAUUUCAUUCCUACCGUGUGUUAUUUUGUUUUUCUCUAAUGUUCUUCAUGUGUUUUGUUUUGCAUGAGGUCAUUUACACUCCAAAUUUGCAGCUUAGCCUGAAAGAAGGUAAUGUCUUGUUUUACAUUCAAAUUCAUUUUUUGCUACUACAUUGAAGGACAUGGCAGUAAGUUGUAGGCAGUGGCACCAGUGGGAUUGAUAGGAAGCAUUCUCCAGUUGCUGCAACUCCAGAAAGCUAGUGAUCUCUAAGUUAAUCAAAUGGAGGCCUAUGCAAGUAUAAAAAAGUGGGUGUACAUUUUAUGGAAUGAAUAUUAGUGAUCUCCAGUUAUGUGUACAUUUUAUGUAAGUGUAAUGAAGUGUGUGUGUACACACAUACUAUUUUAAAGGAAUGUCUAGCUCCUUAUAUAUGGAA